This 231-nucleotide ribosomal RNA is filed under the name Triticum aestivum (bread wheat). RNAcentral describes it as "partial small subunit ribosomal RNA". The record is from RNAcentral. Lineage: Eukaryota; Viridiplantae; Streptophyta; Magnoliopsida; Poales; Poaceae.
AUGAGCCCAUAUUUAAUUCAUCUACGGCAAUCUGCUAGUGUUGAUGAGGCACCAGUUAUUAUUGUUGAUAUUUAUGAUCCAAGCAAUUGGGGUAGUCUUGAUAACAAAGCGAGGAACAUAUUAGUGGAAAGGGGGCCUAAAAGCAAAGAAGAAAACACUAAAUAUCCGUUGGAUAAAAAUUCACAAUAUUUUUUCAAAACACUAAAACACUCAAGAAAAAUGAGCAAUUGA